GCUUCAAGUGAUUGAGAUGGAUAACUGGAACACCGAUUUGGUGGAGUCGGCCAGACAGAUCAAGAUGAUCAAGAGAGCUGCGGGAACGACGCCGUUCACCUUCGUUUCGUUUAACGGAACGUUAUUACCCAAAUUUGGUUAAAGCUUGACUCACAAUAUUUUUAGAGGAAGGAGGAGGAGUAUGAUUAUUGGUGACUGGACUGAGAAUUUUGAAAUUAACAACUCGAAAGUUUUGUAAUUGAGAGUAGAAUAUUGUAAAUGGUAGUGUUUGUUAUAAAAUUAGUUAAGAGAUUUUUAUUACCAUAACAAAUAAUCUUGUUUGUUCUGAAAAUACUCGAAUACUGAAUAACCAUG
RNAcentral lists this long non-coding RNA (354 nucleotides) under Salvia miltiorrhiza (redroot sage). RNAcentral's name for it is "long non-coding RNA (SMIL_LNC011302)". Lineage: Eukaryota; Viridiplantae; Streptophyta; Magnoliopsida; Lamiales; Lamiaceae. The record is from RNAcentral.